AGAGUUUGAUCCUGGCUCAGAUUGAACGCUGGCGGCAUGCCUUACACAUGCAAGUCGAACGGCAGCGCGGGGCAACCUGGCGGCGAGUGGCGAACGGGUGAGUAAUAUAUCGGAACAUACCCUAGAGUGGGGGAUAACGUAGCGAAAGUUACGCUAAUACUGCAUACGCACUAAGGUGGAAAGUGGGGGAUUCGCAAGAACCUCAUGCUCAUGGAGUGGCCGAUAUCUGAUUAGCUAGUUGGUGAGGUAAAGGCUCACCAAGGCGACGAUCAGUAGCUGGUUUGAGAGAACGACCAGCCACACUGGAACUGAGACACGGUCCAGACUCCUACGGGAGGCAGCAGUGGGGAAUUUUGGACAAUGGGGGCAACCCUGAUCCAGCAAUGCCGCGUGAGUGAAGAAGGCCUUCGGGUUGUAAAGCUCUUUUGUCAGGGAAGAAACGGUGAGUUCUAAUAAAGCUUGCUAAUGACGGUACCUGAAGAAUAAGCACCGGCUAACUACGUGCCAGCAGCCGCGGUAAUACGUAGGGUGCAAGCGUUAAUCGGAAUUACUGGGCGUAAAGCGUGCGCAGGCGGUUAUAUAAGUCAGAUGUGAAAUCCCUGGGCUCAACCUAGGAACUGCAUUUGAGACUGUAUGGCUAGAGUGUGUCAGAGGGGGGUAGAAUUCCACGUGUAGCAGUGAAAUGCGUAGAUAUGUGGAGGAAUACCGAUGGCGAAGGCAGCCCCCUGGGAUAACACUGACGCUCAUGCACGAAAGCGUGGGGAGCAAACAGGAUUAGAUACCCUGGUAGUCCACGCCCUAAACGAUGUCUACUAGUUGUCGGGUCUUAAUUGACUUGGUAACGCAGCUAACGCGUGAAGUAGACCGCCUGGGGAGUACGGUCGCAAGAUUAAAACUCAAAUGAAUUGACGG
Molecule: ribosomal RNA, 912 nt
Filed under: uncultured bacterium
Lineage: Bacteria
Description: bacterial SSU rRNA
Rfam family: Bacterial small subunit ribosomal RNA
Source: RNAcentral